GGCAUUGUAGUAUAAUGGUUAGGGAUCUGGGCUUGUAACUCAGAGGCAGUAGGAUCGAUUCCCAGCUGAGGCUC
Molecule: transfer RNA, 74 nt
Filed under: Anguilla anguilla (European eel)
Lineage: Eukaryota; Metazoa; Chordata; Actinopteri; Anguilliformes; Anguillidae
Description: tRNA-OTHER
Source: RNAcentral